Molecule: ribosomal RNA, 482 nt
Filed under: uncultured bacterium
Lineage: Bacteria
Description: partial 16S ribosomal RNA
Rfam family: Bacterial small subunit ribosomal RNA
Source: RNAcentral
AUUGAACGCUGGCGGCAUGCUUUAUACAUGCAAGUCGAACGGUAACAGGCCGCAAGGUGCUGACGAGUGGCGAACGGGUGAGUAAUGCAUCGGAACGUGCCCAGUCGUGGGGGAUAACUUCUCGAAAGAGUAGCUAAUACCGCAUACGAUCUAUGGAUGAAAGCGGGGGACCGUAAGGCCUCGCGCGAUUGGAGCGGCCGAUGUCAGAUUAGGUAGUUGGUGGGGUAAAGGCUCACCAAGCCAACGAUCUGUAGCUGGUCUGAGAGGACGACCAGCCACACUGGGACUGAGACACGGCCCAGACUCCUACGGGAGGCAGCAGUGGGGAAUUUUGGACAAUGGGCGCAAGCCUGAUCCAGCAAUGCCGCGUGCAGGAAGAAGGCCUUCGGGUUGUAAACUGCUUUUGUACGGAACGAAACGGCUCUGGUUAAUACCCGGGGCUAAUGACGGUACCGUAAGAAUAAGCACCGGCUAACUACGUG